AUUGUCAGCUUUCUGCUUCCUUCACCUCCUCCUUCACUCGAAGUCAUCUAAUGAGCCACAGAGAGUGAAGAUGAUAUCCUAGAUGAUGACACCUACCUGAACACAUCUCCCUGAAGCCCAGUGGCUCAAGUACAAAAGGCUGGCAUUAUAUCAACCCACCUGCUUCUGGAAGAGAGAGAGGAAAAAAAUCAGAAUCACUCAACCUGCAGAUUGCUGUCAGCUUGUGAUUAUGUGAAUGAAACCCUGAAGACAUAUUCAGUGUUGUUGAACAGCUUCUGAGCACAUCCCCUGAAGUUAAAACAAAUGUCUGGACACAGAGAUGAAGAGAGAGCCUGGAAGUGUAAGUUAGUUUACAUGGGACUCAACUAAAUUUUAUUUCUCCAAGAUCGCCGCCUCCCUUUUGUACCUCUGAUAUAAAAAUGCAUGUGUUUGUACCAGAGUAAAGUGACAAAAGUCAGACUUCAAUGCAAAUGACAUUUAAAUAAUUCUUUUUUAAAAAGUUGCAGAAGACUGCAACUUCUGGACUCCUGUAACAACUGAGGAGUACAAACUAUUUGACAGAACAAUGAAAAAAAAAAUCCAUCCUAAAUACUGUAGAGCAACUUCUGAAUGUGUUUUUCCUACUAAGGGAGUUGUCAGUAAUAAGCAAAAUUUCUGAGAAGGUUGAGCAAAACCAGAGUGGAAUGAAAACCAACUGGAAUGACAUGCUGGGCCAAACAACUGUAUUUCUUCCGGGGAUACUUUGAAACAAAGCCUCAGGGAAGAAAAUGACUCAGAGAUGUCAUAUUUAAGCAAAUAAUUUGAACCAUGUGCUGGUAUGAGCUGUUAUGCUCUACCAUGCUCUAGUUGAUAUAACAAAGAGGUUAUCAGAAGCCAUAAGGGAAAAUUCAUGAAUCCCUUUGUGAAACUGAGUACUAAAGCACCAGUGUUUGGAUACAAGAGCUUUGCAGACACAAAAAGGACCCCAAGAUCUGCUCUAACAGUGAGGGUGUAGAAAAUUGAACGUCCAUUUAAUCACCUGUUGAUCCAUUACUAUGAUGGAUGCUUCAGGGAAAAAGUAGCCAAUUGCCCCAGAAAUAUCUGCUCAACAUACUUUUAUGAUCUGAGCACUGACACAGAUAAUUUUUUUUUGUAAUCUAUUGAAGGCCAAUUCAAACAGUAUUUUUACUCUUAUUAGAAACAUUAGGUUUAGGAAUACUUCAGAAGAGUACUACUCUAGUCUAAAGUUGACCAGUCUGGGUUCUGUGGAGCUUUAGUUUUUGAAAAUCUUAACAGUUACAGCAUGACAGAAAGUGCUUUCAGCUCAUAUAAAUUAGUGAAGCCCCCCCCACCAAAAAACAAUAUUAUACAGGAUUCUUGUUUACAGGACUUUUCAGAGGAUUUAUUAGGCUCAUAUAGACUUUGAAUCUCUAAAGGUGGUUACAGAAUGCAUUUCCCCAAUAUAUUGGUCAACAGGACUCUUUUUGGAAAAAUGCUUAGAAAUAUCUUAAAUAAAUAUUGUUCAAUAGAUCAGAGUAUGGGACCUCUGAGAAAAUCCAAUCUCUUUCCUUCCAAUGGAAUGAAUAAUAGCUAAAUCUUUUUUAUGGAUGGGUACAUUUUAAUCCAAUUUCAUUUUACUCAGCUGUUUUUGGCCAACUUUUGUUUUGACAAAAGGGCCAUCAGAAACACAAAGCCUUUUUAUUAAUUGCUCAAGGUUUCUCUUUCUUUUUUGACAAUUAGUUGAAUACUACUUCACACAGUGCUGCAAAAUAAAGAUAAAGUAGCUUCUAUUCACUUUUUGAAGGUUUUUGGAAAUCUCUACUUUAACUUUGUUAAUUUAAAAAUUUUAAAGGCCCCAUUCCAUUGGCACACAAGUUGGAUUUGUGAUAGAGUUUGCAGCAGAGCUUGAUUUGCAUUGUUUGAUAUAAAUAAGGUAUUUGGCAAAAAUGGGAAAUAAAAUUCUGAAAGAUCUAUGAUAAUCAUCAGAAAAGUCACAUGAAAAAUGAAUUGGACAGGCAAUUCUUUAAUCUUUCAUUGUAUUUUCCACCUUUUAUGAAGGGAGAAAUGGGUUUAACUGUUGCUAUCUGAUUGGCAAAACAAUUUCUGGGCUUGUCCUAUUUUUACUGGGUUUGAUUUAAUUUUAUUAAAGUUCCUCAAAAUUUCAAAUUUCAAACUAAAAAAAGCCAGCCUUUUGAAUAUCAACCCACCAAUCCAAUAUGUCAAGAAGCAAACCCCAGAGACCUACUAGUCCAGCUUACAUGUUAUUCAAAAUGUGACCUAGAUAUUUCCUACCAGUUCUAUGCUGAUUAAAUAUGUGACAUUUCAUGAACACAGUCCACAUUCAAUGCUUUCUCAGAUCAUAUAACCAUAUGCUUUGAAAGUCAUUCACUGAAUAUUUAGCUAAAUGAAUCUAUGCCUCCAUUGAACCAGAUCACUGGUGGUCAUGGCAUGACCAGUUUUUAAAAAUUGGAAUGUUUAACUUUGGGUAACAGUCAUUAAUACAAAGUGAAGUGGACAAAUAUCCUUGGGUCAGAGAAAGAGAAAAGAAAUCAGCACAACUUAACAUAUUUAUAGGGCUAUAAUCUUGCUUUUUCCUCAGUGGAGAAGCAAAAAUCAGUUAAUUUUUUUAAUUCAUCUUGUUUUUCCUCAGUUCUUAAAAAACAAGACAAAUUCCUCUUUUCUACACAAGAUAAUUUUCAGAGUGAAACCCAAAAUCUAAUUGGUAAGGAAGCAGGAAGAAACCCUGAAGUUGUCUAUUCAAGGUAAUACUGUGUGUACAGUAUUCAAAUAGAGAACAUCAGAGUGGCAGAAGCUAGGUAUUCUCUUCACUAGCAGCAAUAUAGCACACAGGCAGCUAUCGUGUUUUAAAGAGAUCCUUGUUUUCCUUAAUAUCAUGUUAUGUAUGUAUCACCCUGUGUUGGCAUCUGAGAACUCUCUUAUUCAGAGAGCCUUUGAAAUAUGAAUUAUUGAUCUUAGCUCCUGGUGACUAUUAUCCUAUGGUGCUUUGUAACCAUUACCUCUUCUUCCAUUUUCUAUUAACCUGCUAGUAGAGACUGUGGAAAGUAAGAUCAAGGAGUGAUUAAAUGGAUCAUUUUCAUUAUUAACACCUACCUUGCAUUUUACAGGUACAUCUAGUGGUGCACCACCUUCUGGAGAAACCAAGGGCUUUGUUACAGUAACAAAUCUGGUCCAGUGUGAUAUUACAAGUAUAAAAAAUAUUCCAUUCUGUAUCAAAACUAGGCACAUGCCUUUAUUUAUAGUAACAGAAGUUAACAGAGUUGAGCAGUUUUGCCUUGGGUCCUGUUUCUUGGCAUCCUACAUCUGACAAACACAUCUCUCAAGAUGUCUCUGCCCAGAACUCCAGGGAUCUAGUCUCAGGGUCAUCUGUCGGUAAUGGAAGGUGAAAUCACACUUGGAUCUAUAGUGUAUCAGAGUACAGCAGUCCCUCCGUAUCCAUGAUUUUGCUUUCUGUGGUUUGUUACGGUCAACCAUGGUCCAAAACAAGUUUCAGGCAUCCACCAGAGAACUUGGAACCUACUCCUUGUGGAUAAGGGGAGACUACUGCAAUACAGUCCUUACCAAACCAGUAGAUAAGUAUUCCUUAAUUUCUUGUUCUCUUUUUCCUAAAGAGUUUGUAUAGAAUUGUUUUUAUUAUUAUUAUACUUUAAGUUCUGGGAUACAUUUGCUGAAUGUGCAGGUUUGUACAUAGUUAUACAUAUGCCUUAGUGGUCUGCUGAAUCCAUCACCCUGUCAUCUACAUUAGGUAUUUCUCCUAAUGCUAUCCCACCCCCAGCCUCCAACAGGCCCUGUUGUGUGAUGUUCCCCUCCCUGUGUCCAUGUGUUCUCAUUGUUCAACUCCCACUUAUGAAUGGCAAUAUGUGGUGUUUGGUUUCCAUUCCUUUAUUAGUUUGCUGAGAAUGAUGGUUUCCAGAUUCAUCCAUAUCCCUGCAAAGGACAUGAACUCAUCCUUUUUUAUGGCUGCCUAGUAUUCCAUGGUGUAUAUGUGCCACAUUUUCUUUAUCCAAUCUAUCACUGAUGGGCAUCUGGGUUGGUUCCAAGUCUUUGCUAUCAUGAACAGUGCUGCAGUGAACAUACAUGUGCAUGUGUCUUUAUAAUAGAAUGAUUUAUAAUCCUUUUGGUAUAUACUCAGUAAUGGGAUUGCUGAGUCAAAUGGUAUUUCUAUUUCUAGGUCCUUGAGGAAUCACCACAGUGGCUUCCACAGUGUUGAACUAACUUAUACUCCUACCAACAGUGUAAAAGUUUUCCUAUUUCUCCACAUCCUCUCCAGCAUCUGUCUCCUGAUUUUUUAAUGAUCACCAUUCUAACUGGCAUGAGAUGGUAUCUCAAUGUGGUUUUGCUUUGCAUUUCUCUAAUAACCAGGGAUGGUGAGCUUUUUUUCAUAUGUUUGUUGGCUACAUAAAUGUCUUUUCUUGAGAAGUGUCUGUUCAUAUUCUUUGCCCACUUUUUGAUUGGGUUGCUUUUUUCUUGUAGAUUUGUUUAAGUUCUUUGUAGAUUCUGGAUAUUAGCCCUUUGUCAGAUUGGUAGAUUGCGAAAAUUUUCUCCCUUUCUGUAGGUUGCCUGUUCACUCUAAUGAUAGUUUCUUUUGCUGUGCAGAAGCUCCUUAUUUUAAUUAGAUAGCUUUUGUUGCCAUUGCUUUUGGUGUUUUAGUCAUGAAGUCUUUGCCCAUGCCUAUGUCCUGAAUGGUAUUGCCUAGGUUUUCAUCUAGGGUUUCUAUGGUUUUAGAUCUUAGGUUUAAGUCUUUAAAAGUCAUUAAGCUUAAUGUGGUUGACUGUGUUGUUCAGCUCUUGUAAAAUUAGUAAGAGCUAACUUUUAGCUACACUAGCAAUUUCUGAGACUUGGGUAUUAUUAAAAUCUCUAACUAUGAAUGUGAACUUGUCUGUAUCUUCCUGACUUCUAUACAUUUUGGUUUCAUGUAUGUUAAAGCUCUGAUAUGAAGCACAUGUUGAAUUUCUGAUGUAUCAAUCAUUUAUCAUUAGGAAGAGUUCAUAUUUGUCUCUAGCAAUGCCCCUUGUUUUUAAGUCAUCUUCAUUGAGAUAAUAUUUUGGGGUUUAUUUCAUUUUGCUCAUUCCUCAAAUUUCAAAAUUUCAGAAAUAGGAUAUUGAAAUAUAUGAUUAAAAGGAGUAUAUUCAAGAGAACACAAGAACAACCAGCUUCCUUCCAUUUUGGAAUUAAGAUUUUUAAAAAGACAAGCUGUUAAAAUCUGGUUUCUCUUCUAGUCUAAUAUGCUGAGAAACAGAGUCCUGGUUAGGAAAUCUUAGCUGAAACUAUUUUCAAACAAUUAUGUUUCAGUAUUCACAGUCCGCUGGAAACGCACUUGCAGCCUUCCUGGCAACAGAGGUGAAAUAAUAAUAAAAGAUGACCUGAGACAUAUCUAAACAGACAAUAUUUGCUUUGCCAUUGAGGAUUCUCUAUCUUGCAGCAGUAAUUUCCCCACAGCAAGUACCCUUUGCCCGGUUCACAGUAUAACAGUAUAGCUUAAUGCUGUUUUCCUUAGGCAGUGAUUGAGUCAUCUGUAACACACAAACUGUGGUAUGACAUUUUAAAUGAUUAAAAUAGCCACUCUAGCUUUCUUAAACAAUGUUUUUGUGGUGUAUCUUUUUUUCUUUUUUCACUUUGUGCAUACAUGUUGAGUUAGUUCUUUCUUUUGGAUCUUGUCUCAUAAUCUCUGCCUUUCAUUAUAUUGCUUAGACCAUUUACAUUGAAUAUAGUUAUUGACAUGGUUGUACUUAAGGAUGCCAUUUUGCUAUCUGGUGUCUAUUUGUCCCUUGCAUUUUUUGUUCCAUCUUUCUCCUUUCUUGCCUUAUUCCCUCUGAUUUUUUUAGUUUUGUAUUUCAAUUCCUCUUUUCACUUUUUAAUUUACGUUUUAUCUUAUUUUUAUUUAUUCCUCUAGGGAUUGAAGUAUACAGAUGGUCUCCAAUUUAUAAUGGUUGAUUUAUAAUGUUUCAAUUUUACAAUGAUGUGAAAACAGUAUGCAUUCAGUAGAAACUAUAGUUUGAGUACCCAUACAACCAUUCUUUUUUCCCAUUUCAGUACAGUAUUCAAUAACUUACAUGAGAUAUUCAAUACUGUUACAAAAUAGGCUUUUUGUUAGAUGAUAUUGUCUACCUUUAGGUUAAUGUAAGUGUUCUGAGCACAUUUAAGGUAGGCUAGGGAUGUUAGGUAUAUUAAAUGCAGUUUCAAUGUUAUAUCUUUAACUUAUAAUAGGUUCAUUGUGAUGCCACCCAUCAUAAGUCAAGGAGCAUCUGUACAUUUUCAUCACAGUCUACUUUAAUAUUGAAUUGUUUCAAAUAAAAUAUAGGAGCGCUGCAACAACAUAUUUCCAUUUACACUUCUCCCCUCAUCCUUGGUGGAGAGAGGUACAGGCAUAGAGAAUAGUGUUUGCAAAGGCAUGGAAACAAUUAAAAACACUCUAUAAUUGGAGACAAAGUCAUUCAGAAUGGUUGGAACAAAAACUGAGGAGAGAAAAGAGGCUGAAGAGGUAAUUAGAGGAACGAUUUGCAAGGGGGUUAUAAACUGUGAUAAGCUGUUUACACUUUAUCCUGAGAGCAAUGGCAAGCCAUUAAAGUGUUUUAUGCAAAAGAGUGAUAUGAUCAGAUUUACAUUUUGGAAAGAUUAAUCUGAAUCCAACAUGAAAAGCAGACUCACAGAAGGGAAAGACUUGAAGCAGAUAACUCGGGAGACUGUUGUGUUAAUUCAAGUCAGAAAAAAAUAGUGGUUACUCUCAGGGUCCUGGGCGUAGUGUUGGGUAAAUGGACAAAUUCAAGAGGUAUUCUGAGGCAGAAGAGAACUGCUUCACUAAGAGAGGAGAAGCGAAGAUUGUUUACACUUUUUUACAAUGAAGUGAGACCUGGUGUCCUUCACUGAGAUGGAGAACUUAAAGCAGCCGGAGGAAUUCCUGGUUCCCUCAAAUGUGUUCAUCACUAGACCAAGAUGUGUGGGGUCCCGGGCAGAUUAAUGAUUAUACCACUCCUCAAAAAUAUUUUUUGUAAUAGCUUUUAGAAUUUCUUUGAUAGGGUAGGGAAACAGAUUUGCAUUUGUAAUCAGAUGACUCUUUAUGUUCAACCUAAAAAUUUCAUAAUAUGCUUUAUGCUUUACUGUUUGUUUUUGAAUUGAUGGUAAAGUGUGAGUCGUUUUUUAUAAAUUCCAUUGUAGAGUACUGUCUUCCUUUGCAGAAUUUUCCCAAUCAACUUAUUACCAGUUAAAUAAAGAAACAGUUGGCAUCUUAUUUCUGAUUUAUUUCAGCAGUGGUUAAGAGAAAGUUUGUUUAUUGCUUACAUUCCUUAAUUUGGCUCUAAGUAUAUCUGCCAUAGAAGACAGUAUCUAGAUCAUGGCCAAAACUUAACUAAAAAGGAGCUCAACUAAGGUGGAUGAAUUUCAGCUCCAAAGAAAAGGACUGCCAAAAAAAGAAGGGUGGAUAAAUAUCUAGCAAGCCUCCUGCAGGUGAGGUGUCUAUACAUCUGGAACUCCUUGCCCAUUCUAUAAUGUCCUUUAGCUAGGCAAAAGUGGAUAAUUUGGGGCUAUAUCUCAUCAAUUUUUUGAUUAGCCUAGAAACGGUGGAGGAAUGUUGUGCUUUAUUAUUAUUCUCACAAAUAUUUCUCAGUUUUAGCCCAGAAGGCAAACUGCUGACUCCAUUUAGCUUUCACAGUCAGGAGAAGUCUGACAAUCAAAGUUUGCUCAUAAUGUCCAACUGUGACCAAGGUUUCACAAGAUGAACUUUGUUUCAUUUGGAAUAAAGCAGGAAACUGAAAUCCAUAGGGAGUUGACUAGGGCCUUUCCAUUAAUUCUGAUCCAAGGAAUUCUUAAGCACAAUGAUUAGUACCUUUUAAAACCUAGCAUGUGAAGUUGGAUAUUUUUAUACUUACACAUUUUUUGUAUGCUGGGUAUUUAUCCCCCACUUAUUCUAUUUAUGUAAGAAACACACAUCAAAACAUCAAGAAGUAGACUUAAAGAAGCAACAUAAAAGAGCUGAAACAGCAAAAAUUUGAGCUCACUCAUAUCUGGCCCAAAUUCUAAUUUUGACAUUUGUUAACUAUAGAACACAUUCAUCUAUGUCUAUGAUUCUCACUAUCUCCUCUGUGAAUUUUUGAUAAUACAGAAUAACUGUGAGCAUUAAAGAUGGUGUAUAUGGUGCCUAGCACAUAAAUAAUAGCUAUAAUUUUAUUUUGUAUAGGAUAAUGAUUUGGUUUGUUGAAGCAGUAAUUGUCAGGAUUGAAAGAAAACCAAAUAAAGGCAUGGAUUUCCUCUGAAGACAGGAGAACACUGCAGAAAGAUGUCCUCAAACAGAUGAUACAGUGAUAAGAGUGGAAGACCAGAAAAGAGAAAAGAUACUCAUAAUCACAGACCACAGAGAUGAAGACAAGAGGAGGCAUUUCAGGGUAACUCCUAAUGGGACGUAUCUGAGAAUUAAACCUCCCAGACAACCAAGAAGGUUUCCACUGCUGGGAAUAUUCACAUCUUUUUGGAUGACUAAUUAAUUACUUCAUGUGAUAGAGAGCUCGAAGGGCACUGAAGAGUAUAUGUGUAUGGGGGGGAGCGAGGGGGGG
Molecule: long non-coding RNA, 8543 nt
Organism: Callithrix jacchus (white-tufted-ear marmoset)
Lineage: Eukaryota; Metazoa; Chordata; Mammalia; Primates; Cebidae
Source: RefSeq, a predicted model, not a curated record